UGGGGAUGAACAAAGGGUUGACUUAUUGGU
This 30-nucleotide non-coding RNA is filed under the name Homo sapiens (human). The record is from RNAcentral. Lineage: Eukaryota; Metazoa; Chordata; Mammalia; Primates; Hominidae.